RNAcentral lists this ribosomal RNA (468 nucleotides) under uncultured bacterium. RNAcentral's name for it is "partial 16S ribosomal RNA". It matches the Rfam family "Bacterial small subunit ribosomal RNA", at positions 28 to 507 of the family's 1533-position model. The record is from RNAcentral.
GACGAACGCUGGCGGCGUGCUUAACACAUGCAAGUCGAACGGAAAGGCCCUGCUUUUGUGGGGUGCUCGAGUGGCGAACGGGUGAGUAACACGUGAGUAACCUGCCCUUGACUUUGGGAUAACUUCAGGAAACUGGGGCUAAUACCGGAUAGGAGCUCCUGCUGCAUGGUGGGGGUUGGAAAGUUUCGGCGGUUGGGGAUGGACUCGCGGCUUAUCAGCUUGUUGGUGGGGUAGUGGCUUACCAAGGCUUUGACGGGUAGCCGGCCUGAGAGGGUGACCGGCCACAUUGGGACUGGGAUACGACCCGGACUCCUACGGGAGGCAGCGGUGGGGAAUAUUGCACAAUGGGCGGAAGCCUGAUGCAGCAACGCCGCGUGCGGGAUGACGGCCUUCGGGUUGUAAACCGCUUUCGCCUGUGACGAAGCGUGAGUGACGGUAAUGGGUAAAGAAGCACCGGCUAACUACGUG